AUUGAACGCUGGCGGCAUGCCUUACACAUGCAAGUCGAACGGCAGCACGGGGGCAACCCUGGUGGCGAGUGGCGAACGGGUGAGUAAUGCAUCGGAACGUGCCCAGUAGUGGGGGAUAACUAGUCGAAAGAUUAGCUAAUACCGCAUACGACCUAUGGGUGAAAGGCGGGGAGUUCGCAAGAACCUCGCGCUAUCGGAGCGGCCGAUGUCUGAUUAGCUA
Molecule: ribosomal RNA, 220 nt
Filed under: uncultured bacterium
Lineage: Bacteria
Description: partial 16S ribosomal RNA
Rfam family: Bacterial small subunit ribosomal RNA
Source: RNAcentral